UACAUGUGUUAAUGUCUUGUGCAGUACAUUAUUGUAGUUCUUGGAUUAAAAUUAAAGGACAGGAUGCGCAUGACGUAUUUUGACGCACCGACGUACGGCGCACUUGAAAAUUACCGACAUAAUAUAAUACUGUAUAAUAUAUAUGAAUUGUUGGAUCUGGAUCAGAGGCUUAGGGAGGGUAAUAGUCUCUUCUCGUGAUUUCUCAGACGAUGUGCGGAAUACCUGAGAGUACAAGUUAAAGACAAGGAUAUAUAUAAAGUUUGUAUGUUCUUUAUAAGUUUACUGCAGUAUAUAGAUACUGAGUUCACUUAUUAAAAUUGUGUUUUAUAUACAACUGUAGUAUAUGAAUACUAAGUUAUGUUAUAAGCAUACGUUUUAAAACUUGUGACCAGAUAACUGGAUAUAUAUAUUCUAACCUGACAGAUAAUGCUUUUUAAGCCAAUUGUAGUAUAUGAAUACUAAGUUCUUUUAUAAGUACAAGAAUAGUAAUAUAAGUUAAAAAUAUAUAUAUAUAGAUAUAAGUGAUCAGAUAACUGGAUAUAUAUUUUAACUGAAAGUAACCUCAGUCAAUGACCAGAUAACUGAAUGAGGAAUCUACAGGGAAAAUAGUCAACCUCAAUCUAUGACCAGAUGAUUGGAUGAAGAAUCUUUUUUUAGUUUCUUUUUAUCUUAUUAUAACUUUAAAAUAAAGAAGCGAAGAAUAAAAAGAGACACAAAGAUUUUUAUACUGGUUUACCCAAACAAUGGCUAAUCUAGUUUCGAUGAAACACGGAGAUCACUAUCAUGAAGGUAAUGGCGAAACCUCUGCCAAGCUUUAAGGUUAAACGUUUGUGAACCACCUAAAAGUAUUCAGGAACUUUUAAAAACCUCUGUCAAACUUUAAAGCUAAACGCUUGUAAACCCUCUAAAAGUAUUAAGGGACUCUUAAGAACCUCUGUCAAGCUUUAAGGCUAAACGCUUGUGAACCACCUAAGAGUAUUAAGGAACUCUUAAAAAUCUUUGAACCUUUAAGGCAGAUUCGACCUAAGAGUUUUCCUGAAAACUCUAUAGAACUACACCGAGUUUUAUGGUUGAACUCGUUGAACCUUACAAGUGUUGGUAUUGAGACAAACCUCUCACAACACUUGGACCACUUACAAGAUGUAGAUCUUUUCUUCUAUCACACUCUCAAUGUACAAGAGGGGAAGAAGAAGUUGAAGAACUAGAGCACACAAUCUUGAGAGCAACUUUCACGCAAAGCUUGAACGGGAGCUAGAGCUUGAGCAAAAGAGAACGAAAGUAGAGCUUUGAUCCAAGAAGAGCUUUAGCAAAG
RNAcentral lists this long non-coding RNA (1312 nucleotides) under Zostera marina. RNAcentral's name for it is "long non-coding RNA (ZMAR_LNC006103)". Lineage: Eukaryota; Viridiplantae; Streptophyta; Magnoliopsida; Alismatales; Zosteraceae. The record is from RNAcentral.